Molecule: non-coding RNA, 75 nt
Organism: Myotis brandtii (Brandt's bat)
Lineage: Eukaryota; Metazoa; Chordata; Mammalia; Chiroptera; Vespertilionidae
Source: Rfam
CGCAGUACUCAGGUGACAAACCCUAGAAACAGGCUCCCUUUUCUCUGAUUCCGGGUGCAUCACCCAAGAACCACA